AGAGUUUGAUCAUGGCUCAGGAUGAACGCUAGCGGCAAGCUUAACACAUGCAAGUCGAGGGGUAUAGUAGCAAUACUAGAGACCGGCGCACGGGUGCGUAACGCGUAUGCAAUCUACCUUUUACAGAGGGAUAGCCCAGAGAAAUUUGGAUUAAUACCUCAUAGCAUAGCAACUUCGCAUGAAGUCACUAUUAAAGUUCCAACGGUAAAAGAUGAGCAUGCGUCCUAUUAGCUAGAUGGUAAGGUAACGGCUUGCCAUGGCUACGAUAGGUAGGGGUCCUGAGAGGGAGAUCCCCCACACUGGUACUGAGACACGGACCAGAUUCCUACGGGAGGCAGCAGUGAGGAAUAUUGGACAAUGGGCGCAAGCCUGAUCCAGCCCAUGCCGCGUGCAGGAAGACGCAUCUAUGGUGUGUAAACUGCUUUUGUACGGGAAGAAACACUCCUACGUGUAGGAGCUUGACGGUACCGUAAGAAUAAGGAUCGGCUAACUCCGUGCCAGCAGCCGCGGUAAUACGGAGGAUCCAAGCGUUAUCCGGAAUCCUUGGGUUUAAAGGGUCC
This 560-nucleotide ribosomal RNA is filed under the name uncultured Flavobacteriia bacterium. RNAcentral describes it as "bacterial SSU rRNA". It matches the Rfam family "Bacterial small subunit ribosomal RNA", at positions 8 to 570 of the family's 1533-position model. Lineage: Bacteria; Pseudomonadati; Bacteroidota; Flavobacteriia. The record is from RNAcentral.